RNAcentral lists this ribosomal RNA (416 nucleotides) under uncultured Cercozoa. RNAcentral describes it as "partial 18S ribosomal RNA". It matches the Rfam family "Eukaryotic small subunit ribosomal RNA", at positions 945 to 1308 of the family's 1831-position model. The record is from RNAcentral. Lineage: Eukaryota; Cercozoa.
GCGAAAGCAUUCAUCAAUUACACUCUUUUUAAUCAAGAACGAAAGUUGGGGGAUUAAAGACGAUCAGAUACCGUUGUAGUCUCAACCAUAAACGAUGAUAGCUCGGGAUGCUUCAUAACUUAUGAAUAUUCAUCUGAGGCGGGUCUUGGUGGCAACAUCAAGGCACGCCUCACCACGAAGUGAAACGCACCGUGUGGGAAACCAAAGCUACCUUCGUGGAGUGUAUGUUAGCAAUAAUGAAAUUUGAAAGAAUUGACGGAAGUAGCACCACAAGGAGUGGAUUGUGCGGCUUAAUUUGACUCAACGCGGGAAACUUUACCACUGCCGAACUGAAUGAGGAUAGACUGGUUACAGACCCUUCUAAAUUUUCAGCUGCUUGAUAUGUAGUGCAUGGCCUUUGGGAAGUGAGUGGAUUG